RNAcentral lists this ribosomal RNA (405 nucleotides) under uncultured bacterium. RNAcentral's name for it is "bacterial SSU rRNA". It matches the Rfam family "Bacterial small subunit ribosomal RNA", at positions 355 to 776 of the family's 1533-position model. The record is from RNAcentral.
UGGGGGAUAUUGCACAAUGGGGGGAACCCUGAUGCAGCGACGCCGCGUGAGCGAAGGAGUGCUUCGGUAUGUAAAGCUCUGUCAGCAGGGAAGAAGAAGGACGGUACCUGACCAAGAAGCCCCGGCUAACUACGUGCCAGCAGCCGCGGUAAUACGUAGGGGGCGAGCGUUAUCCGGAUUCACUGGGUGUAAAGGGAGCGCAGGCGGUGCGCCGAGUCCGGUGUGAAAGCCCGGGGCCCAACCCCGGGACUGCACUGGAGACUGGCGUGCUGGAGUGCCGGAGGGGUGGGCGGAAUUCCUAGUGUAGCGGUGAAAUGCGUAGAUAUUAGGAGGAACACCGGUGGCGAAGGCGGCCCACUGGACGGUGACUGACGCUGAGGCUCGAAAGCGUGGGGAGCAAACAGG